RNAcentral lists this long non-coding RNA (869 nucleotides) under Rattus norvegicus (Norway rat). Its description in RNAcentral is "long non-coding RNA NONRATT004327". Lineage: Eukaryota; Metazoa; Chordata; Mammalia; Rodentia; Muridae. The record is from RNAcentral.
GUCUCUACACACACAUAAGAAUCCACACGGGUGAGAAGCCCUAUGAGUGUAAAGAGUGUAGGAAGUCAUUCAUUCUCAAGUCAUACCUCACUGUGCACCAGAGAACUCACUCGGGCGAGAAGCCCUAUGGGUGUGACAUAUGUGGAAAAUCCUUUAAGCAAAAUUCCCACCUUCAUGCACAUAAGAGAACUCACACAAGCGAGAAACCCUACGAGUGUAUUGUAUGUGGCAAAAGUUACAAGCAGAGUCCGAGCCUCUACACACAUAAGAAAGUCCAUACCAGUGAGAAACCCUAUGAGUGUAAACAAUGUAGAAAGUCAUUUAGUCUGAAAUUCCACCUCACUAGACACCAGAGAACUCACUCUGGUGAGAAACACUAUCAGUGAAGUGUGUGCGUGGAUGAGCCUUGAAGCGAGUUCACACCUGUGUCCAUCAGAGAACUCAUCCGGGUGGGAAACCCCACAACAACUCUCUACCACCAGUCAUCUGCCCGCCAGGGCUUCGGUAGUGAGAAACCGUCAGUACCGUGUGUGUGGGAAAGCCUGGCAGAUGUCAAGCUGGUGCACACGUCAAGAGAAUUCGUACAGGUGACAGACCUUUAUGAUUAAAAACUAAAAAUAUCUCAGCCAAAGAUACAUCAGAGAACUCACAAGCGCGUGAGAAACCCUAAGGGCAUAUAAAUGUAAAGCGUAUCUCAACCCUAAGAUACAACUCAUUCAUCCAAACAAACAGUUGGGUGUGAUAUAAAACUAUACAGUUGGGGGUGAUGUAAAAACACACAGUUGGGGUUAAUGUAAAAAUACACAGUUGGGUGUAAUGUAUGUAGAAAAGCCUUUCUCCACAUGUCCUAUAUCUGCAGUCAUUAGACA